CUUAUAUGAGACAUUGGUUGUUUGAUGUAAAGACUUUACGUGUGACAACUCAUCCCAGAAUUCUUUAUUAACAGUAUUUUCAUUGUUAUUAGAUGAUAAAACAUGAAUAGUACUUUAUGUAUGAUAAAUUUUUUUAAAAAAUUCAUAAAUUUUUCAAAUGAGACGGACGGUCAAACGUUGGACAAGGAUACCCACGGCUACACUUAUU
RNAcentral lists this microRNA precursor (208 nucleotides) under Oryza glumipatula. RNAcentral describes it as "MIR812 microRNA precursor family". It matches the Rfam family "MIR812 microRNA precursor family". The record is from Rfam by way of RNAcentral. Lineage: Eukaryota; Viridiplantae; Streptophyta; Magnoliopsida; Poales; Poaceae.